GAAUCCCACCACUCAGGAAAUGGAGACAGAGGCAGAUGGAUUCCUUGCAGCCUCAGCUCUCGAAAGAAUCAGCACUUGUCAACGAGUCUUAUUUCCACACCCUCUGAGAGUCAAGCUAACUAAGGAUGCUUUCUUUAAGCCUCAGGGGACUCUGUUACUGUCUUCCAGGCUGUGAGCCUUAAACAAAUAAGAACGAUGGCACCCUCCUGGGUGCUGGAUAUCAAGGACCUGGUGCACGAUACAGAUAUCCAGAGAACUGCUGCAGAGAUCAUCACAUCGUUGAGUGCCCUCAUUUGCUGUGGAUUUAGGAUAUGUAAUUUUAGGAAGAGGGAAUGCUUGAUUCAAGUUCUCUGCUCAAGCAAGAUCAGGAUGUAUGGUGGCAUAUCCACAUGAGGAUUCUGUACUACAGGAAAGACCUAUAGCUAUCCUAUGGGUCAGCAGUUACACAGAGACUGCCCUCCAUGCCCAAGGAAGCAACACUGACCAGUCAAUUUCAAGCACAAAUGAGAAUAAAUAUUUGGGUACCUUUAAGAA
This is a non-coding RNA of Arvicanthis niloticus (Nile rat), 534 nucleotides long. The record is from RefSeq and is a predicted model, not a curated record. Lineage: Eukaryota; Metazoa; Chordata; Mammalia; Rodentia; Muridae.